Molecule: ribosomal RNA, 434 nt
Filed under: uncultured bacterium
Lineage: Bacteria
Description: partial 16S ribosomal RNA
Rfam family: Bacterial small subunit ribosomal RNA
Source: RNAcentral
AUGCACGCUGGCGGUAUGCUUCACACAUGCAGGUCGCACGGACUCUUCGGAGUUAGUGGCGGACGGGUGAGUAACGCGUGAGAAUCUGGCUUUGGGUUCGGGACAACCACUGGAAACGGUGGCUAAUACCGGAUGUGCCGAGAGGUAAAAGAGAAAUUGCCUGAAGAUGAGCCCGCGUCUGAUUAGCUAGUUGGUGAGGUAAAGGCUCACCAAGGCAGCGAUCAGUAGCUGGUCUGAGAGGAUGACCAGCCACACUGGGACUGAGACACGGCCCAGACUCCUACGGGAGGCAGCAGUGGGGAAUUUUCCGCAAUGGGCGAAAGCCUGACGGAGCAAUACCGCGUGAGGGAAGAAGGCUCUUGGGUUGUAAACCUCUUUUCUUAGGGAAGAACAAAAUGACGGUACCUAAGGAAUCAGCAUCGGCUAACUCCGUG